RNAcentral lists this long non-coding RNA (1964 nucleotides) under Equus caballus (horse). RNAcentral describes it as "lncRNA (ENSECAG00000055991.1)". Lineage: Eukaryota; Metazoa; Chordata; Mammalia; Perissodactyla; Equidae. The record is from RNAcentral.
CGGGAAUCCUGGGGCCCGCCCCGCCCCCGGCCCCGCGCCCGCCAAUGAGCUCGGCCCGCAGGGGCAGCGCCGGCCAAUCACGUGCCGGAGUGCCCGCCAGGCCCCGAGCGGGCAGCCAAUAGGAGGCUACUUCGGCGCACGCCCGCCCCGAUCCUUCGGGAGCCAACGGCCGGGAGCCGCGCGCUGCCGGCCCCGCGGGGCGAGGGCAGCCGAGCCGGGCCGGGCCGGGCCGGGGGCCGGAGUCGGCGGGGGUCGGGCGGCAGCUCGGCGCGGGGACGCCGGGGGGCGGGCGGAGGCGGCAGCGCGGCACGGCCACCGCCGGGCGCCUCGCCCUCCGCGCGCUUGGACUCGGCCCGGGAAAGUUCCCGCAGGACGGGGCGCGGGCUGCGCGCACGUGGGCGCCGCUGCAGGGACGCCCCGCGGGCGUCGGCGCCCAGGUGCCGCACCUGCCUGCCCGGGGCGCGCCCGCCGACGCGCGUCUCCGCCCUUGCCAGCCGCCGGAGCCCGGGCGUCCGGAAACCGCUUCCUUCUGUCCCGCCCCAGGACGCAGGCCGUCUUGCCACCCAAAACUUUUCUUUCUGGAAGGAAGGAAGUUGCAUUCAAGUGCUGUCACCUUAAGAUUACUUCAUCAGUGAGUAUAACAAAUAACUGGAUUCACUUCUUCUGGAUUCUCACUAUUGAUAUGCCUCUGGAAUUUCUGCGUGUUUUGGACAAAUCAAUGUUUCAGGUGGCGUUUGUCCAAAGUUGUCUGAAAAUAAAUACAGCAAUACGAGUUGGAUUUUCAUUCACUUCUUUUCAUUCGGAAAGAGCCUUGCCGCAUGUCCCCACGGUGGAUCCUCGUAACGUUCCCUCCAGAUGAGAAAAAUGACGAUAAGAAUCCUUCCUAAGACCUUAGAGCAAGUGGAUUUGGGGCCAAGUGACACCCAGUGCUGAGGCCAGCGCUCACACUUUCUCCACCAGGCCGUUCUCCCCCAGAGUGAGCCCAGAGAUCUUUCAACCCUGCUUUAUAAGCCAGGCUCACGAAGGCUGAGUCAUACGUGGAAGAAACACAAGGUGGAAGGAGGCUGAGUCCCUGAGUCACCGACCCACUAGAAACAUCCACAUGGGACUGUUAGGGCUGUGAUCUGUGCCAGCAGACCUGUUGACAGCCGUCUGAGACAUAUCAAGACCCCCUGGGUACACCUAGGUCAGAAUCCGUCCUUGCCUGCCACUGACUGUGGGACUUUGGGCGAUUAUUUAACCUUUCUGAGAUAUUAUUUCACCAUGAAAUGGAGAGAAUCAUAAGACUUACUUCAAUGAACUGCUGGUAAAUUUAAUGAGAUAAAACAUACGAAGCCCUCGGGUGAUGUGAACGCCUAGAAAAACAGAAGUAACUGCGAGCACUAUUGCAGGCUGAGUUCUGUGGUUUCAGGGGCAUCAGAUACAUGCUCUUAAUUUUUUUUUAAGUCAGAUCCACAUGGCACACCCACUUGCUCUCUGUGGGAUGUCCCCGUGCGAAGGAAGCCUGCACAGUCUUGUCCGACUGUGCCAGCCUCCCCAGAGGACUGGGCCGGGCUACGGAGGGUAGAGCACACCUACUAGGGAAUCUGUUUGUCUUGAGAACACUCCAGUUUGUAAGGAUGGUUUGAUCUCAUCUCAACACAUCAAUCGGCUGCAUAGGGUGGGGAAAGGGGGGAAGGGAAGCAUCACCUUUGUAAACUCCUGAUUUUAUUUUCUCCAUUCUUUUUGAGAGCUUCUUCAGGCAGAAAAACACCUCUUGCUCUUCUGGAUUCUGAGGGCUUUGCUGUGUCACCAUUCAAAAGAACGUGAUGCUGGCUUUGAAGGUAAUUCCAAAAGAGGAGUUUCUGAAAAUAUUCAGACAAUGAUAACAUCAAUCGAAUUAGCCCACAGCCUCUAAAGGUGACUGCUGUAAGUGAAACACGUUUAUCUGGAUGCAUAAAUUCUGGCGUGCCUGUAGAAGUCAG